UCCAAGCCAGAAUUGGGUAAGGCUCAGUAAGAAAGUACCCAGGUGAGAUUGGGUGUUGUUUAUUGGGUAUGUCUGCAUAAAAGGAGACGGUUCAAUCAUAUAUCUCUACAUAGUCACUGCUAAUUAUUAGCAGCUAAUUAUUAGGAGCAUUUUGCUUCGUUAAUUGAAAUUUUGCGUAGCUAGGUGAUGACAGACAACAGCUACCUUGCUGUCUGUCCAGUGACCCCCCCGAACAAGCAUCCAGCUGCUCUCUGGUCUGCACUGGGGUGAAACCUGCAAUAGAAGCACUGCAACCAUCAUUAUCAUGUUUUUUAGAGAGGUAACACUGGGGAAGAUUUUCCACUCUCUCUGUGUGGGGAAUGUUGCUGUUAUCCUUUAGGAGAUUAUGAGUGGCCCAGUCUGAUGGUCCUUUCGUCCCUCCUGUAUCCUAUGCUAGUAUGGAUUUCCAGGGACCCCACAACUUCAGGAUGGGAUUAUUUUCCUUAAUUGUUCCCAGUCAGUCCGUCUCAUUCUUCUUGGGGGUUCUGGAUCUAUUCCCUUGACAGCUUCUUGCCAGACUGCUGUUUCUGAGAAUGCUCCGCCUUCCUUGGGCUGUAGUCUUUUAUUCCAACCACUGCUAAUCAGUACAUACAUAGCUGCAGAUCAUGAAGUAGCUGCUCAGCACAUUAACUCCUUGGUAGCUGGCAGUUCCUGCCGCUCUGAGGACAUCCUGCUGCUUGUGAGAGAGCAGGCCGGGCACACCUCUGCACCAUGCAAUGCAGCAUCAUGUGUGAGACCUCUCUACUACCCCUAAAGGAACCGUUUUCCAGGUAAUCACAGUGCCCUGCAUUGAUACUGGGGGUCCUAGAAGCGAAGUAGCCAUGUUG
RNAcentral lists this long non-coding RNA (866 nucleotides) under Anas platyrhynchos platyrhynchos (common mallard). Its description in RNAcentral is "lncRNA (ENSAPLG00000029531.1)". Lineage: Eukaryota; Metazoa; Chordata; Aves; Anseriformes; Anatidae. The record is from RNAcentral.